UAGCUUUGUCUGUAGAAAAGUAUGUCUUAUUUGUAUUAGUACACAUUGUAGUUUAUGUACUUAAACAAAGUAACCUUCCAGAUAAGUGUAACUCUUAACCUUGCAGUCUUGUAACCUAUUGUAUGGCCCACUUAGUAUAGAGAAUAUGUUUGCAGAACAUAGAAGGUUUCCCCAUGUUUCCAUACUGCCUUUAAUAUUUAAGCGAAGAAGGGAUAUAUGUGUCUUACGGUGGAGAAGGGUAUGAGAAUAGGAAGUUUUUGUAGGAAUUUCCCAUUGUAAUCAUUCCUUAGUAUAUUAUCAAACUACUCAAAUUAAAGAGAGUGAGGACAUGUCUCAGCUAGAAACUUAUAUCAAUUAUACAGAGAAAUAUGAGUUGUGGAAGAAGUAUAAUUAUAGUGAAAUUGAUGGUAUAUUUUCUAACUACAAUGGCUCUUAUUGGAUCUGUGUUAUGAAAGCGAAUUUAUGUUUCCCUUUAUUAACUGGUAUAGUAUCUGCUAUUUGAGUUUUGUAAUUCCAGGUGUUUGUCAGUGAAAGGAAUUAUCUUAUCAGAAAGAAGUGUUUACCUUUAAAGAAAUUUUAUAGUUUUAAUAAUGUUAUGAUUGUAUUCUUUCCUCAUAGAGGAGUGCGAGAGAAUUUAGGUUGCAUAAAAUAAUUAGUAAAUUAGUAGUGUCUAUAUCAGAUGAGACAGCUGAUUCUUUUAAGGUCAUAUUUGGAGAAUUAUAAACAUUACAUAUAGUAGCUUUGUAGAAUAAAGCAACACUAGGUUAUUUUUUUUAGUAGUUCAAAGAGAAAGUGUGAAGAAAUUAAUUUGAAAGAAAAUGUUUUUAUUGCCUGUUUUACUUUUCAUUUUUGUUGCAGGGCAGGCCUUAGCAUAAGUUACUUAGCAUAGCCAUACAGCCUCUUGAUGAAGUCUAGUAGUUUUUACUUGCUUAGUAUUCAUGUUUAAAGUAUCAUGUAAAUUGUAUAGAGAAGCUGUGAGCUAUUCUCUGUAAAAGUAUAAUAAAUAUAUUUAGUUUGUAUUAUAUAUCCACAAUGUUUUUCUGGUUUUAAAUGACAUAGGAUAAGUUAAGCUAUUAAAGGUAAUGGUGAUGCUACAAAAAGGUGAAAUAAGUUUUGUUGGACAUAAUUGUGAUUGUAUCAGGGUGUGUGCUCAUUUUGUGCUGUUUUGUUUCCUUCUUAGACUCCUUCUGACUUGAGUGUCUGCUUGCUGUGAGGACCCACCUGCUUUCCUUGUCUACCCCAUGAACAAACCAUCGUACUUCCAGCAUAUACCAGCAGAUUGACACUUGCAAAGCACACCUACUGCAAAUGGACUAUGGUAUUGAAGCAGAGUGUCUGAGAUUCAGAAACGAUGGUCUCAUGAACCUUACUAUCAACCUGUAGCAAUAUUACUAGGAACAUCAGAAACGAUGGUCUCAUGAACCUUACUAUCAACCUGUAGCAAUAUUACUAGGAACAUGCUACAAGCCUCCCAACAUUAGUGACCCGGAGGAAACUCAACUACUUAUCCAAAUAGCUGAAUAAACUGCUCCCAUCCCACUGAACACACACACAGAUAUUGAAUCACAGUCACCAUACAUCUGUCACAGGAGCAAGCAGUACUAUUGGAUGCAGGAUACAGGAGGGACACUUGAUAGAGGAGCUGGGACGUGGCUGGAUGAGAGGACACAAAAUGUAGCCUUUGAUUCUAAGGAUGCCCCGGUCACAGUAGGACGGGUGAUAACAGCAUGCUGGAGAUAAAACUAUAUGAAAAUUCGAUAAAGCUUGUCAGGUAUAGGAAUAUCUUGAAAUAAAAUAUGAUUAACUGUG
Bombina bombina (fire-bellied toad) is the source of this 1809-nucleotide long non-coding RNA. RefSeq lists it as uncharacterized. The record is from RefSeq and is a predicted model, not a curated record. The transcript has 3 exons. Lineage: Eukaryota; Metazoa; Chordata; Amphibia; Anura; Bombinatoridae.